Sorex araneus (European shrew) is the source of this 137-nucleotide small nucleolar RNA. The record is from Ensembl. Lineage: Eukaryota; Metazoa; Chordata; Mammalia; Eulipotyphla; Soricidae.
GGCCUCCUGGUGUUUUAUCACAGACUGUGUUCUUUACACUGACUAUACACAAAAAGCAUGCACAGUAAACCUGUCACGUAUAUAUAACUUAACCCAAGUCCUUUGCUUGGCUUGUAUUGUAAAUGGGGAAGACAUGG